GAUGAACGCUGGCGGCGUGCCUAAUACAUGCAAGUCGAGCGAACAGACGAGGAGCUUGCUUCUCUGACGUUAGCGGCGGACGGGUGAGUAACACGUGGAUAACCUACCUAUAAGACUGGGAUAACUUCGGGAAACCGGAGCUAACACCGGAUAAUAUAUUGAACCGCAUGGUUCAAUAGUGAAAGACGGUUUUGCUGUCACUUAUAGAUGGUUCCGCGCCGCAUUAGCUAGUUGGUAAGGUAACGGCUUACCAAGGCAACGAUGCGUAGCCGACCUGAGAGGGUGAUCGGCCACACUGGAACUGAGACACGGUCCAGACUCCUACGGGAGGCAGCAGUAGGGAAUCUUCCGCAAUGGGCGAAAGCCUGACGGAGCAACGCCGCGUGAGUGAUGAAGGUCUUCGGAUCGUAAAACUCUGUUAUUAGGGAAGAACGAAUGUGUGAGUAACUACGCACGUCUUGACGGUACCUAAUCAGAAAGCCACGGCUAACUACGUG
This 497-nucleotide ribosomal RNA is filed under the name uncultured bacterium. RNAcentral's name for it is "partial 16S ribosomal RNA". It matches the Rfam family "Bacterial small subunit ribosomal RNA", at positions 28 to 507 of the family's 1533-position model. The record is from RNAcentral.